UCAAAAGCCCUAUUCUUCUCCCUUUUUUGUUCUCUUUCCUUUUAAAUUUUAUUUAUUUGUUUUUUUCUCUUCAUUGAUCAAAUUUUGCUAAAGAAAAAUUCUUGACAAUAAACGACCUUUUCAUCACCAAACUUCAAAGCAAAGGGUCACCAAGAGACGCAAAGAGGGAGGCAAACUGAGCUUCAAUCAUGAACCCAUCAUCAGUGGUAGUAGCUAGCAGAGACCAAGCUCUCUCUUUUUUCAACCACCCUUUCUCCCAAGCUCACUCUUUUCCACUUCCAAAUUUCAAAAAUGGCUCCUUUAUAUCUCCCAUCAAUACCCAGACAAGAAAACCAAAGCCCAACCCUCUCUUUACUGCUUCUAAGCGGUUCCAAGCUAUAUCAGCUUAUUUAGGAGAGAGGAAUCCACCCGCAAAGGCACUUAGACAAAUUCUGGAAUUGCCAGGGGUUCACUAAGGCCCUGCUUGUUUUUAUUGUCUCAGUGCUAAGCUUGUUGAAAGAGCUGGCUUUCAGUAUUGUUUCACCAGUGGAUUUUCCAUUUCUGCUGCUCGCCUGGGAUUUGGAAUUACCAGACACAGUAUUUAUUUCCUAUGGUGAAAUGGUGGAUCGGUGGCAACAAAUCACCCAGGCUGUGUCAAUUCGUGUCAUUGGGGAUGGUGAUAAUGGAUGGAAAUGCGAUGAAUGUCAAGAGAACUGUGAAAGGAUAUAUAAGAGCAGGCUUUGCAGGAUCAUUCUUGAAGAUCAAGUUCAUGUUCGGUAGAAAAAAUUUUUAUCUUUUUCAAAUAUUUAUGUUGGUGGUAAACGUUUUGGAUCAAUUUUCAUCUUUUUCUUUGUCCUCUCUUCCCUCACCGUUCUCUCUGUCCUUUUCUCAGGAGUUUUACCAACUUUAUAGCUCCUGUUUUUGGAUUAAUUCCGUCAGGACUCGUGCUAAUGGUUUCUAAAUCUUAGAUAGAUUGGUUCUUAGCAUGUAGAGUACCAUAUUAGCUUCAUCUUAAGCAUCUUUUGGUACGUAUGUUAUGGUCCAUGCAUGUGAACUGGUUGAGCACUGUGCUGGCUUUUAGGAAUAGCAUUGGAGAAGGUCCCAUCCAAGUGUUUGAAAUUUUUGUUAUUUUCUGCCGCUAAGGCUACCCAUUUCAAUUGAUAUUUAGAAAGUAGGAUUUGAAGAAACAAAUUGUAUUACUUGUCAGCAAUAAGUAAAUUUUGAAUUUGCAAGUAGAAGUCAGUAGUAAACUUAUAGGUUUCCUGUAACAUAAACCUAAGAAUUAAACUUUAAACUUUGAGCAUGAUUACAAAACCACACAAUAUAGAAGAUACACUUUGAAAAGAUUUCCAAAAGCUUGUAAUAUAGUGAAUGGGAAACUAGACACUUUCAUGAGAAGUGACUUUAUCGGCAGAACGCUAGCCCUGCAAGGCAGUAAACAAUGUUUAUGGCACUCUAAGCAGUUUCAUUUACAUUCUACCGUCCAGUUUAGUUUAAUAGUCUUUGAAUUGCUUAUUUAUUCUUGUUCCAUUUUGAGGCUCUGGUUUUUAUAAAAUUUCAUUGCUAGGUGUCUCCAAAAGCUUGUGGUCAUACAAAAGGCAGGAAGGUAGCUGUAAUGAGUUAAAACUGCUGUUGAUGCUCGUAAAGAGAGUGGUUCUGACAUUGUUACUGAAGCACGAACAGAUUCUCGUCAAGCAAUGUCUUUAGAGGAGUCACUCUGGAGAUCAAGGGCUUUUGCUGAUGCUGGAGCAGAUGUCCUUUUUAUAGACGCACUAGCUUCUAAAGAAGAGAUGAAAGCCUUCUGUGAAGUUUCUCCAUCAGUUCCAAAAAGAUUGAUGAAAGGCUUAUCAAAAUCCCUCCGCAGCUUUGGAACCUUUAAUAUCAAAAUCUGAAAGCUAUGCAUUAUUGAUAGUUAUGGCAACGGGUCGGGUCAGGACGAGCAAAACCUGAUCAAAUCGGACAAAUUUUUUAUUAUUUUUAUACCUGAACCGAUCCGACAUUAUAUAAAAUCAUA
Durio zibethinus is the source of this 1993-nucleotide non-coding RNA. Lineage: Eukaryota; Viridiplantae; Streptophyta; Magnoliopsida; Malvales; Malvaceae. The record is from RefSeq and is a predicted model, not a curated record.